AACUUUGCUCAGUGGCAGUAUCAUAGCCAAUGAGGUUUAUCUGAGGCAUGAUUUUGCUAAUUGAAAAAUAAGAUCCACCUCGUUCAUUUUGUACCAUUAUUUACCUUGGUGGGAAUGCC
RNAcentral lists this small nuclear RNA (119 nucleotides) under Dasypus novemcinctus (nine-banded armadillo). RNAcentral's name for it is "U4 spliceosomal RNA (ENSDNOG00000045379.1)". It matches the Rfam family "U4 spliceosomal RNA". Rfam says of the family: U4 small nuclear RNA (U4 snRNA) is a component of the major U2-dependent spliceosome. The structure of U4 snRNA from yeast and human has been reported. Lineage: Eukaryota; Metazoa; Chordata; Mammalia; Cingulata; Dasypodidae. The record is from RNAcentral.